RNAcentral lists this ribosomal RNA (424 nucleotides) under uncultured bacterium. Its description in RNAcentral is "partial 16S ribosomal RNA". It matches the Rfam family "Bacterial small subunit ribosomal RNA", at positions 360 to 775 of the family's 1533-position model. The record is from RNAcentral.
AAUAUUGGACAAUGGGGGGAACCCUGAUCCAGCCAUGCCGCGUGUGUGAAGAAGGCCUUCUGGUUGUAAAGCACUUUAAGCGAGGAGGAGGCUACUCUAGUUAACACCUAGGGAUAGUGGACGUCACUCGCAGAAUAAGCACCGUCUAUCUCUGUGCCAGCAGCCGCGGUAAUACAGAGGGUGCACGCGUUAAUCGGAUUUACUGGGGGUAUAGCGCGCGUAGGUGGCCAAUUAAGUCGAAUGUGAAAUCCCCGAGCUUAACUUGGGAAUUGCAUUCGAUACUGGUUGGCUAGAGUAUGGGAGAGGAUGGUAGAAUUCCAGGUGUAGCGGUGAAAUGCGUAGAGAUCUGGAGGAAUACCGAUGGCGAAGGCAGCCAUCUGGCCUAAUACUGACACUGAGGUGCGAAAGCAUGGGGAGCAAACAG